This 496-nucleotide ribosomal RNA is filed under the name uncultured bacterium. Its description in RNAcentral is "bacterial SSU rRNA". It matches the Rfam family "Archaeal small subunit ribosomal RNA", at positions 726 to 1216 of the family's 1478-position model. The record is from RNAcentral.
AGUCAAUAGAUACCCGGGUAGUCCUAGCCGUAAACGAUACUCGCUAGGUGUCGGCCACGGUGCGACCGUUGUCGGUGCCGUAGGGAAAGCCGUGAAGCGAGCCACCUGGGAAGUACGGCCGCAAGGCUGAAACUUAAAGGAAUUGGCGGGGGAGCACCACAACGGGUGGAGCUUGCGGUUUAAUUGGAUUCAACGCCGGAAAUCUUACCGGGACCGACAGCAAUAUGAAGGCCAGGCUGAAGACUUUGCCGGAUUAGCUGAGAGGUGGUGCAUGGCCGUCGUCAGUUCGUACUGUGAAAGCAUCCUGUUAAGUCAGGCAACGAGCGAGACCCACGCCCACAGUUGCCAGCGUACUCUCUGGAGUGACGGGUACACUGUGGGGACCGCCGCUGCUAAAGCGGAGGAAGGAAUGGGGCAACGGUAGGUCAGUAUGCCCCGAAUAUCCCGGGCUACACGCGAGCUACAAUGGUUGGUACAAUGGGUAUCUACCCCGAAA